This 483-nucleotide ribosomal RNA is filed under the name uncultured bacterium. Its description in RNAcentral is "bacterial SSU rRNA". It matches the Rfam family "Bacterial small subunit ribosomal RNA", at positions 28 to 524 of the family's 1533-position model. The record is from RNAcentral.
GAUGAACGCUGGCGGCGUGCUUAACACAUGCAAGUCGAACGGAAAGGCCAGUGCUUGCACUGGUACUCGAGUGGCGAACGGGUGAGUAACACGUGGGUGAUCUGCCCUGUACUUCGGGAUAAGCUUGGGAAACUGGGUCUAAUACCGGAUAGGACAACUUUUUGGAUAUUGUUGUGGAAAGCUUUUGCGGUAUGGGAUGAGCUCGCGGCCUAUCAGCUUGUUGGUGGGGUAAUGGCCUACCAAGGCGUCGACGGGUAGCCGGCCUGAGAGGGUGUACGGCCACAUUGGGACUGAGAUACGGCCCAGACUCCUACGGGAGGCAGCAGUGGGGAAUAUUGCACAAUGGGCGCAAGCCUGAUGCAGCGACGCCGCGUGGGGGAUGAAGGCCUUCGGGUUGUAAACUCCUUUCGCUAGGGACGAAGCUUUUGUGACGGUACCUGGAGAAGAAGCACCGGCUAACUACGUGCCAGCAGCCGCGGUAAU